Molecule: non-coding RNA, 73 nt
Organism: Podarcis lilfordi (Lilford's wall lizard)
Lineage: Eukaryota; Metazoa; Chordata; Lepidosauria; Squamata; Lacertidae
Source: the annotation of a GenBank genome assembly
UGCAAAUAGCUCAGUUGGAAGAGCAUGAGACUCUUGAUCUCAGGGUCGUGGGUUUGAAUCCUACACUGAGCAA